Capsicum annuum is the source of this 717-nucleotide long non-coding RNA. RefSeq lists it as uncharacterized. The transcript is spliced from 2 exons. The record is from RefSeq and is a predicted model, not a curated record. Lineage: Eukaryota; Viridiplantae; Streptophyta; Magnoliopsida; Solanales; Solanaceae.
AAUGUUCAAGAUUGGCUUACCAACAUUAUUUUUAGAAUCUAACUGAGAAUAUCGUUUAUUUGCAAUCUUUUCGAACAUUGCAGUUACAUGCCAUGAGAUUUUUAUUUGGGAAAAAAACUUGUACGCCUAGACUUCAAUUUUGUUCUCUCUUGAUUGUAUUGAAUUGCGUCGCCCAAUAUGCGUCUAUUGGAAUAUAUUGCUUUCCGGCACUUUCCCUUCUUGUCUUUAGUAUUGUUGUUCACUUUGUUUAGCAAGGUUAGGGGUUUAUCAUUUUUAUAAUAAGUUGCUUCAAUGUUUUUAUUUUGUAUGCAGUGCGUUUUUUCCUUUCUUAUUAGUUGCACCUGUUUGCACUUCAAUUACAGAUUCUUGUCUCAAACAGAAGCAAGCUUCUGCAUCUCUUUGCCGAUUUCAAGACUGAAAAAGUCUAACAACCACCCAGUCUUUGGGCUUAGGAAUGGAAGAGGUCGAGGCAGUACCAAGUCAAGCAAGUUAUGCAACACAAACUUGCAAGACAAGGCUAUAUGACGCAAUACAAAUAAUGGUACAUGCUUCAGCAACCGAAAAAAAUGGUGAGAAGACGAACUAACAAAGGGUCUGGAUUGAUCGUUGGAGUGGUAUCAUCCUUGUGUAAUUUUCGCACAUUUUUGUAAAGAGAAUAACAACAUUAUGUCAUCUUGUGAUUUUUACGAGAAAAUAAUCUGAAUAUUAUAUUUUUUA